RNAcentral lists this non-coding RNA (29 nucleotides) under Rattus norvegicus (Norway rat). Lineage: Eukaryota; Metazoa; Chordata; Mammalia; Rodentia; Muridae. The record is from RNAcentral.
UAAUUCCAACCGUGCUGCAUUCAUAUCCU